UAUUAGCUCAGGUGGUUAGAGCGCACCCCUGAUAAGGGUGAGGUCCCUGGUUCGAGUCCAGGAUGGCCCACCUGAAAAAAGGAGUCAGAAGUCAGGAGUCAGAAGUCAGGAGAAAUAAAUUCUGAAUUCUGGGUGCUGAAUACUGAGUUCUUGAUUUUGGGGGUUUAGCUCAGUUGGUAGAGCGCCUGCUUUGCAAGCAGGAUGUCAGCGGUUCGAGUCCGCUAAUCUCCACAUUGGAAAAAGUCAGCAACUGAAGUGAGUAAAAUCACUCAGACUGCUGGUGAAAGCCAGUCAGAACCUUGAAAACUGCAUAGUAACGCGAAGCAGGCAGACACAGACAUGAGAAUGGAUGUGGAUGCUGGAUAAACCAAUGAAUUUGU
This 380-nucleotide transfer RNA is filed under the name Anabaena sp. PCC 9109. Its description in RNAcentral is "partial 16S-23S ribosomal RNA intergenic spacer". The stretch from base 159 to 231 matches the Rfam family "tRNA". The record is from RNAcentral. Lineage: Bacteria; Bacillati; Cyanobacteriota; Cyanophyceae; Nostocales; Nostocaceae.